This 525-nucleotide ribosomal RNA is filed under the name Podosphaera sp. RNAcentral describes it as "eukaryotic LSU rRNA". The stretch from base 184 to 337 matches the Rfam family "5.8S ribosomal RNA". Lineage: Eukaryota; Fungi; Ascomycota; Leotiomycetes; Helotiales; Erysiphaceae. The record is from RNAcentral.
CAUUACUGAGCGCGAGGCCCCGCAGCGCGCACGCGCUGCGGCGGUUGACCCUCCACCCGUGUGAACUCUUAUCUGUUGCUUUGGCGGGCCGGGCUCGACCUGCCGGCUCCGGCUGGCGAGUGCCCGUCAGAGAAGCCCCAACUCGUGCUGUGAGUGUUGUCUGAGGAAAUGUGGAAUUAGUAAAACUUUCAACAACGGAUCUCUUGGCUCUGGCAUCGAUGAAGAACGCAGCGAAAUGCGAUAAGUAAUGUGAAUUGCAGAAUUUAGUGAAUCAUCGAAUCUUUGAACGCACAUUGCGCCCCCCGGCAUUCCGAGGGGCAUGCCUGUUCGAGCGUCAGAACACCCCUCAAGCCUAGCUUGGUCUUGGGGCUCGCCGGCUCGGCGGCCCCUAAACGCAGUGGCGGUGCUGGUGUGCUCUCCGCGUAGUCAUGUAUCUCGCGACAGAGUGGCGACGGCACCCGCCAGAACCCCAGUCUUUGGAUGACCUCGGAUCAGGUAGGGAUACCCGCUGAACUUAAGCAUAUC